Molecule: ribosomal RNA, 440 nt
Filed under: uncultured bacterium
Lineage: Bacteria
Description: partial 16S ribosomal RNA
Rfam family: Bacterial small subunit ribosomal RNA
Source: RNAcentral
CCUACGGGAGGCAGCAGUGGGGAAUAUUGCACAAUGGGGGCAACCCUGAUGCAGCAACGCCGCGUGGGUGAAGAAGGUCUUCGGAUUGUAAAGUCCUUUUAUUAGAGACGAAAAUGACGGUUUCUCACGAAUAAGCCCCCGCGAACUCCGUGCCAGCAGCCGCGGUAAUACGUAGGGGGCAAGCGUUACUCGGAGUUACUGGGGGUAAAGGGCGCGUAGGCGGGAAAGCAAGCCAGGAGUGAAAGCCUGUGGCUUAACCCCAGAACUGCUUUUGAAACUGCGUGUCUAGAGUGUUGGAGAGGCAGGCGGAAUUCCGGGUGUAGCGGUAAAAUGCGUAGAUAUCAGGAGGAAUACCCGUGGCGAAGGCGACCUGCUGGACAUUAACUGACGCUGAGGCGCGAAAGCGUGGGGAGCAAACAGGAUUAGAUACCCGUGUAGUC